GACGAAGGUGGCGAGCGUUGCUCGGAAUUACUGGGCAUAAAGGGCGCGUAGGUGGCGUAGUCAGUCGGUGGUGAAAUCCUAUGGCUCACCCAUAGAAUGGCCGCCGAUACUGCUGGGCUUGAGGUCAGGAGGGGAGAGUGGAACUCCUGGUGUAGCGGUGAAAUGCGUAGAUAUCAGGAGGAACGCCGGUGGCGAAAGCGACUCUCUGGACUGGACCUGACACUGAGGCGCGAAAGCUAGGGGAGCAAACAGG
Molecule: ribosomal RNA, 253 nt
Filed under: uncultured bacterium
Lineage: Bacteria
Description: partial 16S ribosomal RNA
Rfam family: Bacterial small subunit ribosomal RNA
Source: RNAcentral